AUCCUGGCUCAGGAUGAACGCUAGCGGCAGGCUUAACACAUGCAAGUCGAGGGGCAUCGGGAGUAGCAAUACUGCCGGCGACCGGCGCAAGGGUGCGUAACGCGUGAGCAACAUGCCCGUAUCAGGGGGAUAAUCCAUGGAAACGUGGUCUAAUACCCCAUAGUAAUUAUGUAAGGCAUCUUAUAUAAUUUAAAGCUUUGGUGGAUACGGAUUGGCUCGCGUGACAUUAGCUAGAUGGUAAGGUAACGGCUUACCAUGGCUACGAUGUCUAGGGGUUCUGAGAGGAAGGUCCCCCACACUGGAACUGAGACACGGUCCAGACUCCUACGGGAGGCAGCAGUGAGGAAUAUUGGACAAUGGAUGGAAAUCUGAUCCAGCCAUGCCGCGUGCAAGGGAAGACGGCCCUAUGGGUUGUAAACUGCUUUUGUAUGGGAGCAAUAAGGGCUACGCGUAGUCCGAUGAGAGUACCAUACGAAUAAGCACCGGCUAACUCCGUGCCAGCAGCUGC
Molecule: ribosomal RNA, 508 nt
Filed under: uncultured bacterium
Lineage: Bacteria
Description: bacterial SSU rRNA
Rfam family: Bacterial small subunit ribosomal RNA
Source: RNAcentral